Molecule: long non-coding RNA, 2678 nt
Filed under: Homo sapiens (human)
Lineage: Eukaryota; Metazoa; Chordata; Mammalia; Primates; Hominidae
Description: HSALNT0276734
Source: RNAcentral
CGCCGCCGCUGCCAACCCGGAAGGAGCCCGGAGGGGCCCGGGCGGCCAGGGCGCCCCCGCCAGGAGGCCCGCCAGGUGUCCACCUGAGCCCCACGCCCUGCGCCGCGGGGCCCUUUUGGGGGCGGGGUGCCAGCUCCGAGGUGUCCUCCCACGGGCUGUAGACUGGGAAACUGAGGCCCGGGCCACGGUCCCAGACGCAGCCGGGACCCGAACCCACCUCACCUGAGCGAAUGAUAUCCGGGACUCAUCCUUUUUCGACACCUUUGCGGGAUCCAGCCCUCCAAGGAAAGCUUCCUGAGCAGUGCGCGCCACGUGUAUUGGGCACCUCACCGCGGCCACUUCACAUCCUAUCUCAGGUGGAGAAACUAAGCCACAGAAAGGAGCUGUCAUUUACCUAAAGCACCGUGGCAGGGGUUUGGCAGAGCCAGGAUUUGUACCCAGAUCGCCUGACUUCGGAGAGUAACAGCUCUUAACCACAGCACUUCGGUCUAUGCCUUGAUUUCACCAUAUGUAACAAGGGACAAGAGCUUGCCGUGUUGCCCCAGGCUGGUCUCAAACUCCUAGCCUCAAGCAAACUUCCUGUCUCGGCCUUUCAAAACCCUGAGAUUACAAGCAUAAGAAAAGAAAAUCUUGUAAGAUGAAAGCUGAAGGAUGAGAGCAAUUAAUUGAUGAAGUAUGAUGAUCCAGGUGUCCCUGGGUGAAGAAACAACCUCUACAAAGGCCCUGAGGGUCUCGCUCAUCACCAGGCUGGAGUACAGUGACAUGAUCAUGGCUCACUGCAGCCUCAACCUCCCGGGUUCAGGCUAUCCUCCCACCUCAGCCUCCCAGGACCACAGGCGUGUGCCACCAUGCCCAGCUAAUUUUUUGUAGAGAUGGGGUUAUGCCAUGUUGCCCAGGCUGGUCUCGAGCUGCUGGGCACAAGCAAUCUACCCAUCUCAGUCUCCCAAAGUGCUGGCAUUAUAGUCGUGAGCCACUGUGCCCAGCCAACAGCGUCUUUCAAAGAGCAGAGAGAGGUUAAUUUUGAUGAUGUCCAGUUUGCACCUUUGUUGAAAAUUGACCAUAUAUCUGUGAGUCUGUUUCUAGACUCUUUGUUCUGCUUUAUUAAACUACUUGUCUAUUUGUACACCAAUGCCACACUGUCUUCAUUGCUGUGCCUUUGUAAUAAGUUUUAAAGUUAGGUCAUUUAAGUCCUUUAAUUUUGUUCCUCUUUUUCAAAGUUGUUUUGACUAUUCUAAGCUUUUGCAUUUCCAAUACAUUUUGUAAUCAGCUUGUAAAUUUCUACCAAAAAAGCCUGCUGAGACUUUGACUGAAAUUAUGUUGAGUUUGUAGAUUAAUUUGGGAAGAAUUGACAUAUUGACAGUAUCGAGUCUCUCAACCCAUGAACAUGGUAUACCUCUCCAUUUAUUUAGACCUUUAGAGCUUUUUCUCAGAAACAUUUUGUAGCUUUUUUUUUUUUUUUUUGAGACGGAGUCUUGCCCUGUCACCCAGGCUGGAGUGCAGUGGCACGAUUUUGGCUCACUAUAACCUCUGCCUCCCGGGUUCACGCGGUUCUCCUGCCUCAGCCUCCCAGGUUCACGCGGUUCUCCUGCCUCAGCCUCCUGAGUAGCUGGGAUUACAGGCAGGCGCCACCAUGCCCGGCUAAUUUUUGUAUUUUUAGUGGAGACGGGGUUUCACCAUCUUGGCCAGGAUGGUCUCGAUCUCUUGACCUCGUGAUCCGCCCGCCUCAGCCUCCCAAAGUGCUGGGAUUACAGGCAUGAGCCACCACGCCCAGCUUGUUUUGUAGCUUUAAUUGUAUAGGCCUAACAUACUUUUUUGUUCUGUUUAGUCUAUUUCAUAUUUUUAUGCUACCGUAAAUAGUAUUUUUUAAAAUUUCAAUGUCCAGGUGUUUUUUGCUAGUAAUAUAUUUUUUAUGUUGAUCUUGUAUCUUUCAACCUUAUUAUACUCAUUUAUUAGUUCCAGCAGCUUUUUUGCAAAUUCCAUCAGAUUUUUAACUUAGAUGAACAUUUUUUUUUUUGCAAAUAAAGGCAACUUUUCUUCUUUAUAUCAAAUCUGAAUUUUUUUUAUUUCCUUUUCUUGUCUGAUUAUAUGGGCUAGAAUCUCCAAUACAAUGUUGAAUAGAAGUGGUGAGAGUAGACAGACCUGUCUUGUUCAUGAUCUUAGGGGAAAAACAUUAAUGAACCCUAAUGUUCAUUAUAGGGUUUUGUUUGGUAGAUGCCUUUUAUUAGGUAAGAAGAUUCCCUUCUAUUCCUGGCUUGCUUAAUUUUUUUUUUAACAAUCAGGAACGAAUCUUGGAUUUUGCCAAAUGUUUUUUCUGCCUUUAAUGAAAUGAUCUGAUCAUUUUAAUUGUUUAGUCUGUUAAUACAGUGAAUUACACUGAUUGAUUUUCCAGUGUUAAAGCCACUUUGCAGUCCUAGGAGAAAUCCCACUGGUUGUGAUGUACAGUUGUCUUCCCUUAUCCAUGGGGGAUGUGUUCCAAGACCCCUAGUGAAUGCCUGAAACCUCAGAUAGUACCAAACCCUAUAUACACUAUGUUUUUUCCUGUACAGACAUACCUAUGAUAAAGCCUAAUUUAUAAAUUAGGCACAGUAAGAUAUUAACAAUAACUAAUAAUAAAAUAGAACAAUUAUAACAAUAUACUGUAAUAAAAGUUAUAUGAAUGUGGUCUCUCUCUGUUUUCU